RNAcentral lists this ribosomal RNA (201 nucleotides) under uncultured bacterium. RNAcentral describes it as "partial 16S ribosomal RNA". It matches the Rfam family "Bacterial small subunit ribosomal RNA", at positions 328 to 539 of the family's 1533-position model. The record is from RNAcentral.
ACGCUCGACACCUACGUGAGGCAGCAGUGGGGAAUAUUGGGCAAUGGGCGAAAGCCUGACCCAGCAACGCCGCGUGAGGGAAGAAGGUUUUCGGAUUGUAAACCUCUGUCCUCAGGGACGAAGGACGUGACGGUACCUGAGGAGGAAGCCCCGGCUAACUACGUACCAGCAGCCGCGGUAAUCUGAGCGGGCUGGCAAGGC